Molecule: ribosomal RNA, 422 nt
Filed under: uncultured bacterium
Lineage: Bacteria
Description: bacterial SSU rRNA
Rfam family: Bacterial small subunit ribosomal RNA
Source: RNAcentral
AUACCGGAUGGCAUAGUUUUCCCGCAUGGGAUAAUUAUUAAAGAAUUUCGGUUGUCGAUGGGGAUGCGUUCCAUUAGGCAGUUGGCGGGGUAGCGGCCCACCAAACCUACGAUGGAUAGGGGUUCUGAGAGGAAGGUCCCCCACAUUGGAACUGAGACACGGUCCAAACUCCUACGGGAGGCAGCAGUGAGGAAUAUUGGUCAAUGGACGAGAGUCUGAACCAGCCAAGUAGCGUGAAGGAUGACUGCCCUAUGGGUUGUAAACUUCUUUUAUACGGGAAUAAAGUGAGCCACGUGUGGCUUUUUGUAUGUACCGUAUGAAUAAGGAUCGGCUAACUCCGUGCCAGCAGCCGCGGUAAUACGGAGGAUUCGAGCGUUUAUCCGGAUUUAUUGGGUUUAAAGGGAGCGUAGGCGGGUUGUUAA